CCGUGAGGCCCUGAGGACCACCGAGAAGACGCGAAGGCCCUGCCCCGUCCGGGGAAACCAGUUGGGAAGCCGAGACGCGCGUUCGCACAUCUUCCUCUCCCGGGAGCUGAGGUGCAGGGAGGAACCCCUCCCGCGACCCCACGUCGUGCCCUUCGUGACCCCUCCGGCCCCCCCGUCUGUCGUGACCGCCAGUGACCCAGAGUCCGCGUGUGUUUCCCGAGGCAGCAGCAUUUCCCCGAACGCCUCUUUGCUCUCACUGCUGCGCUACAGCGUCCCCCAAUUUUACAGUUGACCGCGCUCUACCAGCAGCAGUUUUCCAAACGGGAAGAUGUCUUUUACAGCCGCUUAAUUCACUCUUAACAGAUUCGGAAGUGGGUUUCUGUGCUGCUUUUGAUUCUUCCCUGGACUGUCUGUUCGUUUAUGUUACAGGAGGACUAUUGAAUUAUUAUCAUCAUUUUAAAACCAUAAAGUGCAGAUAAGUCUAAAGAAGAAAGCAAAAACCCCGUGAUUCCAUCAGAGAGACCACUACCAAGUUUUGGUUGCUUAUCUGCCAAACUUAGCUUCUGGUGAGCGCAGCCCUGACGGCAGCUCGGUGGCGGUGGCGGGCGGGGACUCUGCGGAGGCAGGCGACCAGCGCACGGUGACACCUGAUGGGCCGGGGGCCAGGCUGUCGGGUUUCUGUGCAGUCCUGUGACACGGGGGCACCAGCCCUGGGCUUCGCUGUCCCCGAACUCGGUGUUCUGGGCACAAGGUCCUGUCUCAGCUGCAGACUUCCUAGGCUGGGUCUCUUCCCUGUUGUCCCUUUGAGAAUAAAGGUCUAGAAACAAACACAA
Long non-coding RNA from Canis lupus familiaris (dog), 833 nucleotides. RefSeq lists it as uncharacterized. The transcript has 2 exons. The record is from RefSeq and is a predicted model, not a curated record. NCBI's taxonomy places the organism in Eukaryota, Metazoa, Chordata, Mammalia, Carnivora, Canidae.